Molecule: ribosomal RNA, 450 nt
Filed under: uncultured organism
Description: partial 16S ribosomal RNA
Rfam family: Bacterial small subunit ribosomal RNA
Source: RNAcentral
CGUACACUCCUGCGGGAGGCAGCAGUGGGGAAUAUCGGACAAUGGGCGCAAGCCUGAUCCAGCCAUGCCGCGUGAGUGAUGACGGCCCUAGGGUUGUAAAGCUCUUUCACCGGUGAAGAUAAUGACGGUAACCGGAGAAGAAGCCCCGGCUAACUUCGUGCCAGCAGCAGCGGUAAUACGAAGGGGGCUAGCGUUGUUCGGAUUUACUGGGCGUAAAGCGCACGUAGGCGGACUAUUAAGUCAGGGGUGAAAUCCCGGGGCUCAACCCCGGAACUGCCUUUGAUACUGGUAGUCUUGAGUUCGAGAGAGGUGAGUGGAAUUCCGAGUGUAGAGGUGAAAUUCGUAGAUAUUCGGAGGAACACCAGUGGCGAAGGCGGCUCACUGGCUCGAUACUGACGCUGAGGUGCGAAAGCGUGGGGAGCAAACAGGAUUAGAAACCCUGGUAGGCCC